Molecule: unclassified non-coding RNA, 1368 nt
Filed under: Hevea brasiliensis (rubber tree)
Lineage: Eukaryota; Viridiplantae; Streptophyta; Magnoliopsida; Malpighiales; Euphorbiaceae
Source: RNAcentral
CUAUCUGAUUUUUUCUAUCUCUUUGGCUGCGAUUAGGAUUUGAUUUCGAUUUCGAUUUAUAUUUUCGCUAAUAUAAAUUGAGAAAUCUCUGAAGAUCAAUUAUGCAGCGAUUCGUUGAUACUGUCCUCGCUGUAACCAAAGAGUCAGUGAAGACAUUCACUUAUGAGUCUUUGCAUAAUAUCGUGAGGCUGAUAAAUGGAGUGUCAGCACUUUUGUUGACGCUAUUGCCAGGGAAGGCUAAUAUCCUUGAAGGUCUUCAUGGCUGGGAGCUUAGGCCAACUGUUCGUGGACCACGAUUCCCCCGCUGGAUGGAGAAUGGGGUGUCCUCUUUCAACAAAUUCAUCCAUGAUCUGUCAAUGGAUUCUGAUACUUCAAGUGAGGAUUAUUCAUCAGCAGAAGAAGAUAGUGAUGGAAUAUGUCCUGCAUCACCAUUAUCUCAAAGUUCACGAGUCUCGAGGACAAAUUCUUUCAGGAAGAAUAGCGGGUACCGGAAAGGAUGGACUAUGCUCUUAUUAUCAUGGAUUCUCUUUCCUGAGAGGUUUUUGCUAGGGAUACCAUUAUGUCUUUGUCGUUUAUUUUACAUUAGGACCUCCUUUAUGAGGGGAAGCCACAGGCCUUCACGAUUACAUUCUAUUAGGAGAGUGAAUACUCCAAAGGAUCAUGUCAUUCAUCAUACCACUGACAGGAGACGUGGAGUCAUUGAGGAUCUUCAUCUGGCAAUUGAGAUAUUCAAUAUUUGAUUUUUUCCAUAAAGCUGCACAUUUUCUUCUUUCUCCAUCAGAAGUUUUGAGAAUACCAUACAGAUGGUUUUCAUAUCAGAGAAGUGGCCAUGAAGAUACUAAUGGCAUGUCAGAUACAUCUGUUCCCACCGCUACCCUUGGAGAGAGUGAUCCAACUCCUACAGAAAGGAAAACUACCUUUCACCAGUCUCUGAAUACAGAUGCUCGGACUUGUCAGGAUGUAAUAACAGAGCUUGGAUACCCAUAUGAAGCAAUUCGGGUGAUCACUGCAGAUGGAUAUGUUCUUCUUCUAGAAAGAAUUCCCAGACGUGAUUCGCGGAAAGCUCUUUACCUUCAGCAUGGGCUUUUGGAUUCAUCCAUGGGUUGGGUGUCUAAUGGGAUUGUUGGCUCUCCAGCUUUCGCAGCAUAUGAUCAAGGGUUUGAUGUUUUCCUUGGGAAUUUUCGUGGUUUGGUUUCUCGAGAACAUGUUGACAAGAACAUUUCCUCACGAAAGUAUUGGAGGUAUUCCAUCAAUGAGCAUGGGAUGGAGGAUAUCCCAGCAAUGAUAGAGAAGAUUCACCAAGUUAAAACUGCAGAACUGAAAAUUAGCCAGCCUGAUCUUGAGGAAGAAAUGAAUGAUGAUCAACCU